RNAcentral lists this long non-coding RNA (199 nucleotides) under Vigna radiata. Its description in RNAcentral is "long non-coding RNA (VRAD_LNC004385)". The record is from RNAcentral. Lineage: Eukaryota; Viridiplantae; Streptophyta; Magnoliopsida; Fabales; Fabaceae.
GCAAGGCACGAACAGUCUAAAGGGUCAAGGUAAAGCCAAGGUAAUUAGGAUAAUCGCAUGAUUAAGGUGAUUGGACUGUGAUUGGGCCUUGAUUAACAUUACCUUAAUACUGGACCCAUAUCCAGCACUAUAAAUACAUGUCAAGGACACUAGGUAAGUGGAUUCAUUUAUUGCGCAUUUACUUCUGAGCUCAUACACU